Molecule: ribosomal RNA, 253 nt
Filed under: uncultured bacterium
Lineage: Bacteria
Description: partial 16S ribosomal RNA
Rfam family: Bacterial small subunit ribosomal RNA
Source: RNAcentral
UACGAAGGGGGCUAGCGUUGCUCGGAAUCACUGGGCGUAAAGGGUGCGUAGGCGGGUCUUUAAGUCAGGGGUGAAAUCCUGGAGCUCAACUCCAGAACUGCCUUUGAUACUGAGGAUCUUGAGUUCGGGAGAGGUGAGUGGAACUGCGAGUGUAGAGGUGAAAUGCGUAGAUAUUGGGAGGAACACCAGUGGCGAAGGCGGCUCACUGGACCGGUACUGACGCUGAGGCGCGAAAGCGUGGGGAGCAAACGGG